GUGGUCCACAGGGCUCCUAGCUCCGCAUCUCCAUCCUUCCUAUUUCAGCCUGUUUAGGGUCUCAGCGAGGGGGUCUGCCUAAGGCAAUUGCUGAGCCGUAAAGGAAAUGAACUCCCUUUGGGAUGUCUACAUCUCUAAUUUGCGAGAGAAAGACCCAGGCUUCCUCUCCUGAACCAACUAGAUGGCCCGGCCCAAUCCCGACCAAGUGAUCACUGCCAGGGCCCUUCCAGGCCUGACAUUCCAUGUUCUAAAUUUCGUAUGACAGUUCAGACCCGAAGAGAUUUGCCCCAGGGACGGAGUUUGGGGCUGAGAUGAAUCAUCUCUUUUUCAUUGUAAAAAGAAAUUCUUGUUCCUUCAAAAAUGCUUUACAUUAUCAUUGGGGAUUCUUCCAAGUACACUCACUCAGCCCUUCCCUCCCUUAGUAGACAGGCCUUCAGGACUAGCUGUGGCCCAAAAUUAAAAAAUAAAAAAGCAUCACCUAGUGGCCGAACUUUCCCUCAACUCACCUCACUUAUACAAUUUGUGGCCAGAGCUGGUCCUUUCUCCCUUUACCAUCUCUCUCAUCCAGUCAGUUGUCCCCUUCUCUCCACUCCCAGAGCUACAACAUUUCUGGCUCUCCUUGCCUCUUACCUAGGCUAUGGCAAUAGCCUUCUAAUGGGUUUUCCUGCCCCAGGUCUCUCUGGAUCCAUUCUAUCAUCCAUUGGGAGGCCAAGGUGAUUUUCUGAUGAGUAUCUCUGACUAUGUCCACCCCUCUAUGCCCCAUUAGUUCCAGUCUCCCUGUUACCCCUAGGAUCAAAUAUAAACUCUGGCACUCAGAACUCGUCAGAAGCUGGUACCUUUUUAAAAAAAAACAGUAUUUCAUUGUCUUUGCCCAAUUACAUGUAAAAAGUUGGCACCUUCUUAUCUCUGCAGUCUUCUUCAUGGACUCUAUGACCUGGCUACACUGGCAUGUUUACUGGCUCUCACACGUGAUACUUUAAUCUCUCAUCUCCUCGCCUGUACACUGGUUGACUACUUAUCUCUGCCUUGGAGCUGCCCUGGCUUCCUUCUGCACUCAGCUCAAAACCCAUCUAGAGGCCUUGCCAAGUCCCCUAAGCUGUUAAUGGCUUCCUCUCUCAGAAUGCUUCCCUAAAUGGGAAUAUAUGGAGAGAUGCUGUUUGGGCCCAGGGAAGGGACCCUCUUCUUCCGUGGUAAAAGUGGAAGCUGGCAGCUGGAUCAAGAACAUGGGUGGAACUGAUAAGCCUGGGCCAGCCACCUUCUCCUACUUGUAAUCAUUAAUGGGACUUGGUCAGUCACUCAGUUGGUGGCAGUUAUUCUAAUUCUGCUGAUAGUACUGAAAGUACUAAAAUAUUAAAGUGUCUGUAUUGGU
Monodelphis domestica (gray short-tailed opossum) is the source of this 1369-nucleotide non-coding RNA. The record is from RefSeq and is a predicted model, not a curated record. NCBI's taxonomy places the organism in Eukaryota, Metazoa, Chordata, Mammalia, Didelphimorphia, Didelphidae.